Molecule: ribosomal RNA, 530 nt
Filed under: Zoogloea sp.
Lineage: Bacteria; Pseudomonadati; Pseudomonadota; Betaproteobacteria; Rhodocyclales; Zoogloeaceae
Description: bacterial SSU rRNA
Rfam family: Bacterial small subunit ribosomal RNA
Source: RNAcentral
CUCGCGCGAUUGGAGCGGCCGAUGUCGGAUUAGCUAGUUGGUAGGGUAAAGGCCUACCAAGGCGACGAUCCGUAGCGGGUCUGAGAGGAUGAUCCGCCACACUGGGACUGAGACACGGCCCAGACUCCUACGGGAGGCAGCAGUGGGGAAUUUUGGACAAUGGGCGCAAGCCUGAUCCAGCCAUGCCGCGUGAGUGAAGAAGGCCUUCGGGUUGUAAAGCUCUUUCAGGUGGAAAGAAAACGCAUGGGUCAAUACCCUGUGUGGAUGACGGUACCAUCAGAAGAAGCACCGGCUAACUACGUGCCAGCAGCCGCGGUAAUACGUAGGGUGCGAGCGUUAAUCGGAAUUACUGGGCGUAAAGCGUGCGCAGGCGGUGAUGUAAGACAGAUGUGAAAUCCCCGGGCUCAACCUGGGAACUGCGUUUGUGACUGCAUCACUCGAGUACGGCAGAGGGAGGUGGAAUUCCGCGUGUAGCAGUGAAAUGCGUAGAUAUGCGGAGGAACACCGAUGGCGAAGGCAGCCUCCUGGGC